GACGAACGCUGGCGGCGUGCUUAACACAUGCAAGUCGAACGGAAAGGCCCUGCUUUUGUGGGGUGCUCGAGGGGCGAACGGGGGAGUAACACGUGAGUAACCUGCCCUUGACUUUGGGAUAACUUCAGGAAACUGGGGCUAAUACCGGAUAGGAGAUCCUGCAGCAUGGAGGGGGUUGGAAAGUUUCGGCGGUUGGGGAUGGACGCGCGGCUGAUGAGCUUGUUGGUGGGGUAGGGGCUUCCCAAGGAUUUGAAGGGUAGGCGGCCCGGGAGGGUGGCCGGCCUCAUGGGUCCUGAGGUACGGCCCAGACUCCUACGGGAGGCAGCGGGGGGGAACCUGGCCCAAUGGGCGGGCGCGUGUGGCAGCAACGCCGCGUUCGUGAUGACGUCCUUCGGGUUGUAAACCGCUUUCGCCUGUGACGAAGCGUUAGUGACGGUAAUGGGUAAAGAAGCACCGGCUAACUACGUG
This 468-nucleotide ribosomal RNA is filed under the name uncultured bacterium. RNAcentral's name for it is "partial 16S ribosomal RNA". It matches the Rfam family "Bacterial small subunit ribosomal RNA", at positions 28 to 507 of the family's 1533-position model. The record is from RNAcentral.